Molecule: long non-coding RNA, 263 nt
Organism: Nannospalax galili (Upper Galilee mountains blind mole rat)
Lineage: Eukaryota; Metazoa; Chordata; Mammalia; Rodentia; Spalacidae
Exons: 3
Source: RefSeq, a predicted model, not a curated record
UACAUUUUGCCUUAGCACUGGUUUAUUAACUGUUGCUUGUAUUAACUUUUCCUUUUAGGUAUUUUCUUUUAGGUAGACACUUCUUCAUUACCACAAAUAUGGGACAAGGUUGUGACGCAGGAGAGUCUAAUGAGGAAUGUGAUUUAUCUGAACAGGUUUCUGCUUUGCACUUACAAGAAACUUUUCCUUCCUCUAGAACACAGCAGCAGCCUGAAAAGGAUUCUCAGGAUGCUGACAAUGCACGUUGGGUACCUGAACGCCUC